This 253-nucleotide ribosomal RNA is filed under the name uncultured bacterium. Its description in RNAcentral is "partial 16S ribosomal RNA". It matches the Rfam family "Bacterial small subunit ribosomal RNA", at positions 524 to 776 of the family's 1533-position model. The record is from RNAcentral.
UACGAGAGACCCGAACGUUAUUCGGAAUUACUGGGCUUACAGAGUUCGUAGGCGGCUCAGCAAGUUGGGUGUGAAAUCCCUCGGCUCAACCGAGGAAUUGCGCUCAAAACUACUGAGCUUGAGGGGUAUAGAGGUAAGCGGAACUGAUGGUGGAGCGGUGAAAUGCGUUGAUAUCAUCAGGAACACCGGUGGCGAAGGCGGCUUACUGGGUACCUCCUGACGCUGAGGAACGAAAGCUAGGGGAGCGAACGGG